ACGCCGGGCACGUAGCACGCGCUCUCCCGUGCUGAAGGGGCAGGGAAGAAGAUGGGGGGGGGGGCAUCCAGCUGUGCAGCUGACGUCACUGCCAGUCAGAGGCACCGCUCCGCUCCGUGACUCUUGUCCAGAUGUGCUGAGGAUCCGCUGCUGCCUGGUUCAGCGGCUGGUUUGAUGGGAUGAGGAGACGGAUCUGCCUGAUCACAGAUUUCCCUCGUGUCCUGCUCCAUGAACGUCUAACAACAUCUAACAACACAACAACCCUGCGUCAGCUGUGAAAUCACACAUAUAUCGUGGUUUCAGUCGCACUAGAGGAGAAGAGGCAGCUUUGACUUAUGAGUGGGGGCUUUUUUAACCCUCCUCUGCAUCAGUUUGUGCGUGUGUGUGUGUGUGUGUGCGCGUGCGUGCGUGUGUGUGUGUGUGCGUGCGUGCGUGCGUGCGUGUGUGUGUCUCUGCAUCUGUACAGGUCACUUUUAGGAAGCGUUUGGAGGCUGCAGCCUGUUUUUGAUCCCUCUGAUCCUUCAAAGUGCUUUGGUUGAUUAAAAGUCGCAUGUUAUUUUUUUACAUUAGUGCCACCUGUGCUGUAACUAACAUGAGUCCAGCAUAAAAAAGAGUUACUUUGCGCCAAUAUUGUAAAAUCCGACACGAGCAGAGAUAAAUCUGGGUCGGGUUUUAUUUCCGAGCCAGGAUCCAAAACAUCAAACAUCCACCCUCUGUCCCACGAGGCUGGACGUUGUGUUGAUCAGGUUGUUUAUGAACCCUGACAGCUUCAGACACGUCUCCCUCACCAAUCCCACUCUCCCCACUGACACGUGUGCUUAAUUGUUCCUGGCAGGAAGUUGGUCGACCUGAAGCUGUGGUUUCACUUCUCUGCUGCUCUGAAGCGCCGGCUUCUUCAUGUGUUCCUAACUGGUUGAGUCAUCGGCCCAGAUGUGAGAAGCCUCGGCCCUUACGUAACUCCAGCCUCGCGUAAUUAAGGGUUAUCAACACAAAUGCUGCAGCUGCUGAGGUACAUGUUUUAGAACAAACUGAGAAUCAGCACAAAUUAAAUGCCAUGAACAUUAUGUCUUGUCUGCAAAUGAGUACGACACGAGGAAGAGGAAGGAGCUUGAUGAGAGGAAGACGAUAUCUGAGGAACGUUAGAGCGGACGGAACGAGUGGAGUCGGUUCUGUCACCUCCUCCACCAGUGGCGUUUGAUGGCUGCUGAUGAAUGAGCGCUGCGAGGAGCGGACGGGUUCCGUGAGUCGGCCCAAAAGAUGAUAUCGCGUUUACGUCCCAUAAUCAGCCGCACGAAUGAGGAAAACAGGCUUCAUAUUCAUCAAUCCCAUGAAGUGGUGUUUGAGCUCAGACCUGCAGGAUCAUUUGACAGCUGUUGAACAUCUGGACUCACUCUGACUCUUUGGAGUCGGAGCCGUCCUGGUAAUAAAUGACAGACGGGCUGUGAACAAGCAGACUCUGGUCCCGGGCUCCUUCUUUGAUCUGAACCAUCGCAUCACACAGUCCACAUGUUCAUCCCCUUUGUGAGCGUUCACGCUCACGAUUGGCAGUAAAAAGAUCACAAACGGCGGCUGGGUUUAUUACAAGGCGACCAGAGGCUGAAUGAAGCCAGCGCCUGGUACUGAUCCAUAACCGCCUGGGUUCGAUCGCUGGACCGUCCUGUGGGCUCCUGCUCUCACAUCCACAGCUCACUGUGGGGCCCAAUGCAUCAGAACCUUCAGCCCCACGUGUUUGACCUUUGCCCUCUGAGUGAGUGAGUCACGACGGGGCGCUCAGAUUCAGGUGAGACCAUGCGUUGACCUUUGCUCCCAGGUGAACGACUGCUUGAAGCUCCGCGAGGGUGUGAUUUAUGCUGCCUCGUCUUCCUCGUUGGUGUCUGGGCCACUUCAUUAUUCAGUUUGUGACGCGAGGUGAAAACAUGCGAACCUUUGCAUGUUUGUGCAUUUGUAAUGUGAUGAACGUAUUGAUUAUUAGAUGACUUCAGCGCCGCAGAUCAGUGACUGACAGCCGGCGGCCGAAGCGGCGUCCUUGGACGAGACGCUGGACGUGUGUUAAUCUGCAGACGUUCUACACACACACACACACACACACACGCACGCACGCGCACACACACACACACACACACACACACGCACGCACGCGCACACACACACACGCACGCGCACACACACACACACACACACACGCACGCGCACACACACACACACACACACACACACACACACACACACAAUCCUUGGGGACAUAUGUGCUGAAGCCCGAGCUGCAAUGUAUCACAAUCUCACUAUAUAAACAUCUCGUCCCACACAAAUUAUGCAGCAUCCCCUUGAGCCAAAGACCAACCAGAUCCAUCAUCCUGUUCCCAGUUUUAUUCAAAUCAGACGGAGGAUGAGCGAGCGCGGCUCUUAAUCAGGCUGAAAUGGAAAACCUGAAGACGCCGCAACGCUGUGAUUUCCCGGGUUUAACGGCAUCGGACCAGCGGUGUCAGCGGCAGCAGGUCAAACACCAAUCUGCCUCAGACGCCUCUUUCUCUUCAUAUUAUUCUCUUCAUGCCGUCCCUCUUUAUUCUGGCCUUUCCACGUUAAUGCAUUAAUCAGACUUCCUGUGACUCGGUUUCAUCCUCACUGCUUUUAUGCAAACAGAGAUCUGAGGAAUAGUGCAGGAUUAAGGGACGGCAGCGACCUCGUUAAUCUUUCUUGCUUUUCUAUCGUUGCGGUUUCUAGACCAGAAUGGUUUUUUUUAUGUUUUAAGGGUACGAAUGCUGUAAAUAUGUCGUGUUCUGUGUCUGUGUGUUUCAGGGGCUUUAAGGCAGGCGUCAGUGAGGACCUGAGCUCCUCCCUGAGCUUCACCGACCGCGUCGUCACCGCCGUCCUCUCCUGCAGGAGCUCAUCCAUCAUUUUGCUUCUUCUCUUUAGGUGCAUCUUAAAUAUGACCGGGACGUGUAACUUCCCAGAAGUGGAGCUGCACUGUUUCAGAUGAGCCCAGUGGAGGUUCGACCCGAGGCGUCGGCUGCUGAAGCAGCGCGCUCUGACCUCCAGCGCCAGCGGCGCCGGUGCCGCUCACGUCCUUCCUCUGUGUGAGCGAGGGGACUGUUCAGACGCCCAAGUCGAGGCUUCGCUGCCUCGUCUCACACUCAGGACCCACGGAGAGCGGCUGAAACUCAAAGCUGCGGAGGAAACUGUGAGGCUGUGAAAACAAGUCAACUGUCUGACACAUGGCAGCGUCGUCACAACCAGAGACUAAACUGAACUCAGUUUGGAGAAUAUUCACACUUUUUUGUCAGGCUGAAAGUUGUGAUGAAGUUCAUCCUGUUUGUUAAAGUCGACCUGUGUUUAGAGGAGCACAGACUUGUUGCUGUGUUUUGCACUAAUGUGAUUUUUACAUGAACCAACCCACUGAAGUGGCUGAAGCAGUGCGACUGUGCCUGACCUGUGCAGCAGGAUGCAGCCUCAGCAAAGUGUCCCUGGAUGAAGAGAGGUUUUAAGAGGACAGGAUGUGUGUCAGGGAGAUGGAUGGCAGCGUUAGGUGAGUGGGACACGGAGACGGUUGGGAGUGCACCUUAUUGACUGCGCUGCAAAUAGACAGCUGGAGAAAUGAACUGGACCCGGCCGCUAUUGAAUAGAGCUCAGUGGUCUGCAUCACUACUGGGGAUUAACACAUGCACACACACACACACACAUAGACACACACACACGCACACACACACAGACAUGCACACACACACACAUACACACACACACAUACACACACACAUGCACGCGUACAUAGACACACACACAUGCACGCGCACAUAGACACACACACACACACACACACACAUGCACACACACACACACACACACAUGCAGUUAAAUGUUUACCCAACUGUCUGUGUUCUCGACUCUAAUUGAUGAGAAGACAAUUAGAGUUUGAUAUUAUACAUUAGUGUGUGACAGUGUCGUUUAACAUGGUUUGGCUUCGGCUGUGUUUGAGCUGUGAGCUUGUUCUGAACAUGAUGCUGCCGAUAAACAUGAACGUCCUGCGAUGAUGUUGAUGCUGAUGCUGUUCACCUCAACAACAACAUGAAAGUGUGAGGUGGGAAUCCUGAAUCGGGAGCAAAUGACGAGCAGCUCAGUUUGUUUGAGGGGUUUCACUUUUACAUUCUGUUCAAAGGAGCUGAGCCUUAAAACCCUGUAAAAACCCAUUGAGGCUUCGAGCCUCGUUCCCCGAUGAAAAAUGCUGAAGAUACAGAUCCAAAGCAGAGCCCAGAGUCUAACACACAGUCGACUACAGAUCACUCCAUUCCCUGCUCACCGGCCUGAAAUCCCCCUCACACAACAGCAGCACAGAUAAUUCUCUUAUUUUGCCCGAUUUGUGUCUGAAAGAUCUAGAGACGAUGUGAGCGGUCGCGCUGGGGAAAGUAAGUGGGAGGCACUCAAGUGUUUUCACAAAACUCUUAACUCAGCGAGAGGUUCAGGCAGUGAGUCAAGAGGAGGGAGUCGUUCGGCCUCCAGACGAAGCGAUGCUGCGAAGCAAGCGGCUGGAGCAGAUGAGACGACCUGGACCCAAACAGUCCUGCAGUGAAGAGCUUUGGAGGUGGAGGUUGUGUCUGACGGGAGCAAACACAGGAGCAACACAGGCUCCGCUCCCAUUCAUAUGCAGCCGAAACAGGCGCCGUGUCAAGAAAUGAGCAAAAACCUGGUCACAACCUCCAGUAAGACCUUGUUAUUUCAGCACCAAUCGGCGUGAAAUGAGAGAAACCGUUUGAGCCCAAACGCAGCCUGAGGUUGUCGGAGUCGUCAAGCGUCAACACACGUUCAUGAGGUAAAUUAAAAACGCUGUCUCGUCAUUAAUGCUGAGGAACCGAUGAACGGAAGCUCUGCGACCCUCGAUUCAGUGGUUUGUGAAAAUACACAACUCAGGUUUAACUGAGUUGGAGAAUAAUCCUCCAGCUGCUUGGUUCCCACAGGUGAUGAUGAUGAUGAUGAUGAUGAUGAUGAUGAUGAUGAUGAUGAUGAUGAUGAUGAUGAUGAUGAUGAUGAUGAUGACGAUGACGAUGAUGAUGAUGAUGAUGAUAGCAGAAGCAUUAGACACAGUUUAACCCACAAAGCGUCGAGCCCAGUGGCGGAGCCGCGGCGCUAGCGUUCACGGUGGCUAACGGUAAAACAGGCAUCAGGUUCAAGUCGUUUGUUCUGACGUGUGACGUGCGCUCAUGAACUCCCUCCGCCGGCUUCACGCUGCUCAUUAGUUUGAAUAUCUCUCCACUUAGAGGAAAAGGCGAAUGCGCUGUGGGCUCAGAUCAAUAUGAGCUUCCCUUUAAUGUCCCAAACAGCAAGAUGGCGAAGGCAAAGUGAUAGAACAGCCUCGUCCUUAAUCGUCCAGCAAUCGAUGCAUUAUCCUGAUUGUGUUUUGUCUUUCAUGCUCUGAGUGAAAUCAUUAAGCUUCUGAAGCAAUUUAACAGGGUGACAGUAACAAAGGACUCGUGCUGCAGACGCCCAACACUCGAUCCAUCACACGGUUCUCCUCAUCGCGUCGCAUGAUCCGAGUGCAGCCCGGUCACGUCCCACAUGAUAAUGAGAGCCUGCGAUUAUUAAUCCAACUGGUGUUUGAGAUCUUUUCAAGGACAAGCUGAUCAUUUUUUCAUUCGUGGAAGUGGAAGUGUUUCAGAGUCUUCUGGUGUUUUAAGCUGCUGGUUCCGUCAGCGCCAUGCGUUCACAACCACGGCUCCACAAGGAGGAACCGCUUUGUACAUAAUGAGGGUGAGCCCCUGCGCCUCCUCAGCUGAAGUGACUGAGUGAGGCUCAUGUGACUGUGGACCGUGGGUUCAAGGCUCCUCGCGGUCCGUGAACCUGCUGCUGUGAGUGGCGGCUGCCAGACGCCAUUGAUGCAUGAUAAUUGGCUCGUGUGUUCGCUCCAGAGGUGCCUCGCUCCCCUGAGCUGUCAUUUGCCUCCCGACGACUCCGUGUGACACCUAUUUUGUGAACAGCGUGAUCAUUACUGAGCAAACAAACAGGCGCCCGUUAGGACGUGUUAAUCACAUGCAGCCGGUGCUGUUUUUCCGUUUUCGGUUUUAUUCAGCAGUCGGAGCGACGGUCGAGCGGCAGAUCAGCGGAGGCGCCGCUGCUUUGGCAGGAAACACACGCAUUUCUAUUCGCUUCUUAAACUUGUUUUCCCCUUUGGUUUCCAUCGGUGCAUCAGUCUAAUUCACUUACUGGCUGCUCCAUUAUCCGAUCAGGGAGGGGCAGAGGCUGGUGGUCACUCACCUCCUGACUGAGGACUGGGAGUUUCCCCUCGUGGUGCGUGGUGGGAAGUGACGUGCGGUCAGGGAGGCGUGGCCUCACCAGACAGAGGAUCCAGGGAGGCGUGGCCUCACCUGACAGUAGCAAAAAAAAUAAAAAUUCACUUCUGUCCAUUGAUCUGUGUUAUACAGGUUACAAUUAUUUUCUAUAAUUUCAAUUAUCUUAACAUUUUUUGGAGUAAAAAUCGCUGAAUCUGUGGAUUUCCUGACCUAAUAUGGAAACCGGAAGUGAGGCGUCAGCGAGGGGAGCCUCAGCCCGAUGCUGAAACUGUCAGUAAAUGGGCUGAUACAAGGCGUAAUCCCUUCUGUUUCACAUUUUGUCUCCAGUAUAAUAAUGUUGGCAGCCAUCAGACAAAUUUAUUCUACACCAUGACUUUGUACAACCUGCCUAAUGUGUUUAUCGAUAUUUUUGUGACAUAAUCACUUUUGUGAUCGCGCUGAAACCGAGAGAAAACUCGUGGGGAGAGGCUGGACAGGUCUGUGCCUCAUCCAGAAGGGGGCACUGCUUCCACCCUUUAACGCAGGGUGUCCCCACAAAUGGGUUUUACUUUUAUAAAAAGACUUACUGAAUGACACUAAGUGAAACAAUUCAAGUGCUUGAGUAGUGAAUUUGAACCUUGAGUGAAGUAUUCUAUUCCUAAUGAAGAGCAAACCUGUAAAACUGAUUAAGGCAGGAAUUUAAGUUUUUAAACACAAAAUAGAACUUGACCGACUGUCAAAAUUGAACAUUUACACCUCUCUAUACUUUAGAAUGAAUUGUUGAAAAUACAUGGAGGCUACAGGUCAGGUGUCUUACUGCUAUAAAAGAUAUGUUCCUUCGAGACCUAAUAUUUUCCUUUAGGGGAGAUAAGAAUGAUGAUAAAAUGGGGAAUAUAGUAAUGCCAGUAUUAAUAUGCAU
Molecule: long non-coding RNA, 7173 nt
Organism: Betta splendens (Siamese fighting fish)
Lineage: Eukaryota; Metazoa; Chordata; Actinopteri; Anabantiformes; Osphronemidae
Exons: 4
Source: RefSeq, a predicted model, not a curated record